UCAGGCUGGUGCUAAACAUGUUUAUGCAGUGGAAGCAUCUGAAAUGGCAAAAUAUGCCCGCAAACUUAUUGCUGGGAACCCAUUGUUGGCUCAAAGAAUUACGGUAGUCAAGGGUAAAGUUGAAGAAGUUGAAUUGCCUGAGAAAGCAGAUAUUUUGAUCUCGGAGCCUAUGGGGACCUUGUUAGUCAAUGAAAGAAUGCUGGAGACCUAUGUAAUUGCAAGGGAUCGGUUCCUUGUUCCUAACGGAAAGAUGUUUCCUACGAUUGGAAG
This is a non-coding RNA of Camellia sinensis, 270 nucleotides long. Lineage: Eukaryota; Viridiplantae; Streptophyta; Magnoliopsida; Ericales; Theaceae. The record is from RefSeq and is a predicted model, not a curated record.